Molecule: long non-coding RNA, 249 nt
Filed under: Mytilus galloprovincialis (Mediterranean mussel)
Lineage: Eukaryota; Metazoa; Mollusca; Bivalvia; Mytilida; Mytilidae
Source: RNAcentral
CCAGAAAGCACGUGAGAUUUAUAUCAUUGCAUCAUGAUGAUUUAAUUUCGUAACAUUUGGAUCCUGUGUAUACAUAUUAUGCUAUUUUGAUUUUACAUAAAGUCAACUUGUAUCGGUGAUAACUGUAUCGCCUUGCAUACGAAAGUUCCGAUUUCACCAAAAGAGCCAUUUUUACUGUUUAUUGAUGUCGACCCAGUUUAUCUGUUGAGCUACACGUGUGUUAUACACUUAUCCAGGAAUUACUUUUAG